Molecule: small nuclear RNA, 104 nt
Filed under: Macaca nemestrina (pig-tailed macaque)
Lineage: Eukaryota; Metazoa; Chordata; Mammalia; Primates; Cercopithecidae
Source: RNAcentral
UUUCUUCAGCAGCACAUAUACUAAAAACUGGAAUGAUAUAGAGAAGAUUAGCAUGGCCCCUGCGCAAGGAUAGACACCAAAUUUGUGAAGCAUUCCAUAUUUUU